GAUGAACGCUGGCGGCGUGCCUAAUACAUGCAAGUCGAGCGAACAGACGAGGAGCUUGCUCCUCUGACGUUAGCGGCGGACGGGUGAGUAACACGUGGAUAACCUACCUAUAAGACUGGGAUAACUUCGGGAAACCGGAGCUAAUACCGGAUAAUAUAUUGAACCGCAUGGUUCAAUAGUGAAAGACGGUUUUGCUGUCACUUAUAGAUGGAUCCGCGCCGCAUUAGCUAGUUGGUAAGGUAACGGCUUACCAAGGCGACGAUGCGUAGCCGACCUGAGAGGGUGAUCGGCCACACUGGAACUGAGACACGGUCCAGACUCCUACGGGAGGCAGCAGUAGGGAAUCUUCCACAAUGGGCGAAAGCCUGACGGAGCAACGCCGCGUGAGUGAUGAAGGUCUUCGGAUCGUAAAACUCUGUUAUUAGGGAAGAAAAAAUGUGUAAGUAACUAUGCACGUCUUGACGGUACCUAAUCAGAAAGCCACGGCUAACUACGUG
Molecule: ribosomal RNA, 497 nt
Filed under: uncultured bacterium
Lineage: Bacteria
Description: partial 16S ribosomal RNA
Rfam family: Bacterial small subunit ribosomal RNA
Source: RNAcentral